Molecule: ribosomal RNA, 253 nt
Filed under: uncultured bacterium
Lineage: Bacteria
Description: partial 16S ribosomal RNA
Rfam family: Bacterial small subunit ribosomal RNA
Source: RNAcentral
UACAGAGGGUGCGAGCGUUGUCCGGAUUGACUGGGCGUAAAGCGCACGCAGGCGGACGCGCGCGUGGGGUGUGAAAUCUGGCCGCUUAACGGCCAGGCGCCAUCCCAUACGGCGUGUCUGGAGCCGUGCAGAGGUCGGUGGAAUUGCCGGUGUAGUGGUGAAAUGCGUAGAGAUCGGCAGGAACACCCAGGGGGAAACCAGCCGACUGGGCACGUGCUGACGCUGAGGUGCGAGAGCGUGGGGAGCGAACAGG